This 73-nucleotide transfer RNA is filed under the name Camelus bactrianus (Bactrian camel). It matches the Rfam family "tRNA". From Rfam's summary of the family: Transfer RNA (tRNA) molecules are approximately 80 nucleotides in length. Their secondary structure includes four short double-helical elements and three loops (D, anti-codon, and T loops). Lineage: Eukaryota; Metazoa; Chordata; Mammalia; Artiodactyla; Camelidae. RNAcentral also lists the same sequence under 2 other names. The record is from Rfam by way of RNAcentral.
GAGGGUAUAGCUCAGUGGUAGAGUGCAUGCUUGGCAUAAAAAAAGGUCCUGGGUUCAAUCCCCAGUACCUCUA